This 88-nucleotide small RNA is filed under the name Salix viminalis (osier). Lineage: Eukaryota; Viridiplantae; Streptophyta; Magnoliopsida; Malpighiales; Salicaceae. The record is from RNAcentral.
CUAAAUCAUAGAUGAAAAUUCGUUCAUUGAAUGACAAACUUGUGAUCAAGAUGAGCUAGAAUUUCUCCCCCGGGGAAAGCUGAUUUGG